This 482-nucleotide ribosomal RNA is filed under the name uncultured bacterium. RNAcentral's name for it is "partial 16S ribosomal RNA". It matches the Rfam family "Bacterial small subunit ribosomal RNA", at positions 30 to 507 of the family's 1533-position model. The record is from RNAcentral.
AUUGAACGCUGGCGGCAUGCUUUACACAUGCAAGUCGAACGGUAACAGGCCGCAAGGUGCUGACGAGUGGCGAACGGGUGAGUAAUGCAUCGGAACGUGCCCAGUCGUGGGGGAUAACUACUCGAAAGAGUAGCUAAUACCGCAUACGAUCUAUGGAUGAAAGCGGGGGACCGUAAGGCCUCGCGCGAUUGGAGCGGCCGAUGUCAGAUUAGGUAGUUGGUGGGGUAAAGGCUCACCAAGCCAACGAUCUGUAGCUGGUCUGAGAGGACGACCAGCCACACUGGGACUGAGACACGGCCCAGACUCCUACGGGAGGCAGCAGUGGGGAAUUUUGGACAAUGGGCGCAAGCCUGAUCCAGCAAUGCCGCGUGCAGGAAGAAGGCCUUCGGGUUGUAAACUGCUUUUGUACGGAGCGAAACGGCUCUGGUUAAUACCCGGGGCUAAUGACGGUACCGUAAGAAUAAGCACCGGCUAACUACGUG